UACGUAGGGUGCGAGCGUUGUCCGGAAUUACUGGGCGUAAAGAGCUCGUAGGUGGUUUGUCGCGUUGUCCGUGAAAACUCACAGCUCAACUGUGGGCGUGCGGGCGAUACGGGCAGACUGGAGUACUGCAGGGGAGAAUGGAAUUCCUGGUGUAGCGGUGAAAUGCGCAGAUAUCAGGAAGAACACCCGUGGCGAAGGCGGUUCUCUGGGACGGUACUGACGCUGAGACGCGAAAGCGUGGGGAGCGAACAGG
Molecule: ribosomal RNA, 253 nt
Filed under: uncultured bacterium
Lineage: Bacteria
Description: partial 16S ribosomal RNA
Rfam family: Bacterial small subunit ribosomal RNA
Source: RNAcentral